RNAcentral lists this non-coding RNA (125 nucleotides) under Corynebacterium riegelii. RNAcentral describes it as "SAM-IV sequence". It matches the Rfam family "SAM (S-adenosyl methionine) riboswitch aptamer". Rfam says of the family: SAM-IV is a mRNA element that regulates gene expression via direct sensing of S-adenosylmethionine (SAM or AdoMet). SAM-IV riboswitches share conserved nucleotide positions with the previously described SAM-I riboswitches sequence analysis and molecular recognition experiments suggest that SAM-I and SAM-IV riboswitches share similar ligand binding sites, but have different scaffolds. The record is from Rfam by way of RNAcentral. Lineage: Bacteria; Bacillati; Actinomycetota; Actinomycetes; Mycobacteriales; Corynebacteriaceae.
GAUCACGAAGUCCGACGUAUUUCAAAGCCUCCCGGCUCGUCGGCUGGCAACCGCGCACAUCGCGCACGGUGCCCCCGGGAGAAGAUCCGCCGGCACGAGCAAUCGCCGCGCCGGAAGUGCGAUGU